RNAcentral lists this ribosomal RNA (538 nucleotides) under uncultured bacterium. RNAcentral describes it as "bacterial SSU rRNA". It matches the Rfam family "Bacterial small subunit ribosomal RNA", at positions 56 to 586 of the family's 1533-position model. The record is from RNAcentral.
UGCAGUCGAACGGUAACAGAACUAGCUUGCUAGUUGCUGACGAGUGGCGGACGGGUGAGUAAUACUUAGGGAUCUGCCUCUGUGUGGGGGAUAACUAUUGGAAACGAUAGCUAAUACCGCAUAACGUCUACGGACCAAAGGGGGGGAUCUUCGGACCUCUCGCCAUUUGAUUAGCCCAAGUGAGAUUAGCUAGUUGGUAAGGUAAUGGCUUACCAAGGCGACGAUCUCUAGCUGGUUUGAGAGGAUGAUCAGCCACACUGGGACUGAGACACGGCCCAGACUCCUACGGGAGGCAGCAGUGGGGAAUAUUGCACAAUGGGCGAAAGCCUGAUGCAGCCAUGCCGCGUGUGUGAAGAAGGCCUUCGGGUUGUAAAGCACUUUCAGUUGUGAGGAAAGGGGUGUAGUUAAUAGCUGCGCUCUGUGACGUUAACAACAGAAGAAGCACCGGCUAACUUCGUGCCAGCAGCCGCGGUAAUACGAGGGGUGCAAGCGUUAAUCGGAAUUACUGGGCGUAAAGCGUUCGUAGGCGGUUUGUUAA